UUAGACCGAUAGCGAACAAGUACAGUGAUGGAAAGAUGAAAAGAACUUUGAAAAGAGAGUGAAAAAGUACGUGAAAUUGUUGAAAGGGAAGGGUUUGAGAUCAGACUCGAUAUUUUGUGAGCCUUGCCUUCGUGGCGGGGUGACCCGCAGCUUAUCGGGCCAGCAUCGGUUUGGGCGGUAGGAUAAUGGCGUAGGAAUGUGACUUUACUUCGGUGAAGUGUUAUAGCCUGCGUUGAUGCUGCCUGCCUAGACCGAGGACUGCGAUUUUAUNCAAGGAUGCUGGCAUAAUGAUCCCAAACCGCCCGUCUUGAAACACGGACAAAGGA
Molecule: ribosomal RNA, 326 nt
Filed under: Cryptococcus sp. CR-SPX-CL123C
Lineage: Eukaryota; Fungi; Basidiomycota; Tremellomycetes; Tremellales; Cryptococcaceae
Description: LSU rRNA
Rfam family: Eukaryotic large subunit ribosomal RNA
Source: RNAcentral